ACGGAGGCAGCAGUGGGGAAUAUUGCACAAUGGAGGAAACUCUGAUGCAGCGACGCCGCGUGAGUGAAGAAGUAUUUCGGUAUGUAAAGCUCUAUCAGCAGGAAAGAAAAUGACGGUACCUGACUAAGAAGCCCCGGCUAACUACGUGCCAGCAGCCGCGGUAAUACGUAGGGGGCAAGCGUUAUCCGGAUUUACUGGGUGUAAAGGGAGCGUAGACGGCGAAGCAAGUCUGAAGUGAAAGCUCGGGGCUCAACCCCGGAACUGCUUUGGAAACUGUUUUGCUGGAGUGCAGGAGAGGUAAGCGGAAUUCCUAGUGUAGCGGUGAAAUGCGUAGAUAUUAGGAGGAACACCAGAGGCGAAGGCGGCUUACUGGACUGUAACUGACGUUGAGGCUCGAAGGCGUGGGGAGCAAACAGGAUUAGAUACCCUGGUA
Molecule: ribosomal RNA, 433 nt
Filed under: uncultured Butyrivibrio sp.
Lineage: Bacteria; Bacillati; Bacillota; Clostridia; Lachnospirales; Lachnospiraceae
Description: partial 16S ribosomal RNA
Rfam family: Bacterial small subunit ribosomal RNA
Source: RNAcentral